This 237-nucleotide ribosomal RNA is filed under the name uncultured bacterium. RNAcentral describes it as "partial 16S ribosomal RNA". It matches the Rfam family "Bacterial small subunit ribosomal RNA", at positions 15 to 240 of the family's 1533-position model. The record is from RNAcentral.
GAUCCUGGCUCAGGACGAACGCUGGCGGCGUGCCUAAUACAUGCAAGUAGAACGCUGAAGGAGGAGCUUGCUUCUCUGGAUGAGUUGCGAACGGGUGAGUAACGCGUAGGUAACCUGCCUGGUAGCGGGGGAUAACUAUUGGAAACGAUAGCUAAUACCGCAUAAGAGUAGAUGUUGCAUGACAUUUGUCUUAAAGUAGGCAAUUAGUCAUCACUACCACGAUGGACCGUCGCGUUG